Molecule: ribosomal RNA, 425 nt
Filed under: uncultured bacterium
Lineage: Bacteria
Description: bacterial SSU rRNA
Rfam family: Bacterial small subunit ribosomal RNA
Source: RNAcentral
GUGGGGAAUAUUGGACAAUGGGCGCAAGCCUGAUCCAGCCAUGCCGCGUGAGUGAUGAAGGCCUUAGGGUUGUAAAGCUCUUUCACCGAUGAAGAUAAUGACGGUAGUCGGAGAAGAAGCCCCGGCUAACUUCGUGCCAGCAGCCGCGGUAAUACGAAGGGGGCUAGCGUUGUUCGGAUUUACUGGGCGUAAAGCGCACGUAGGCGGUUUGUUAAGUCAGGGGUGAAAUCCCGGAGCUCAACUCCGGAACUGCCUUUGAUACUGGCAAGCUAGAGUCCGGAAGAGGUAAGUGGAACUCCUAGUGUAGAGGUGGAAUUCGUAGAUAUUAGGAAGAACACCAGUGGCGAAGGCGGCUUACUGGUCCGGAACUGACGCUGAGGUGCGAAAGCGUGGGGAGCAAACAGGAUUAGAAACCCCUGUAGUCC